GACGAACGCUGGCGGCGUGCUUAACACAUGCAAGUCGAACGGAAAGGCCCUGCUUUUGUGGGGUGCUCGAGUGGCGAACGGGUGAGUAACACGUGAGUAACCUGCCCUUGACUUUGGGAUAACUUCAGGAAACUGGGGCUAAUACCGGAUAGGAGCUCCUGCUGCAUGGUGGGGGUUGGAAAGUUUCGGCGGUUGGGGAUGGACUCGCGGCUUAUCAGCUUGUUGGUGGGGUAGUGGCUUACCAAGGCUUUGACGGGUAGCCGGCCUGAGAGGGUGACCGGCCACAUUGGGACUGAGAUACGGCCCAGACCCCUACGGGAGGCAGCAGUGGGGAAUAUUGCACAAUGGGCGGAAGCCUGAUGCAGCAACGCCGCGUGCGGGAUGACGGCCUUCGGUUUGUAAACCGCUUUCGCCUGUGACGAAGCGUGAGUGACGGUAAUGGGUAAAGAAGCACCGGCUAACUACGUG
Molecule: ribosomal RNA, 468 nt
Filed under: uncultured bacterium
Lineage: Bacteria
Description: partial 16S ribosomal RNA
Rfam family: Bacterial small subunit ribosomal RNA
Source: RNAcentral